This is a long non-coding RNA of Acipenser ruthenus (sterlet), 351 nucleotides long. RefSeq lists it as uncharacterized. The record is from RefSeq and is a predicted model, not a curated record. NCBI's taxonomy places the organism in Eukaryota, Metazoa, Chordata, Actinopteri, Acipenseriformes, Acipenseridae. The transcript is spliced from 3 exons.
GGUGACUCAUUGACGUCAUCACACUCGGGUGCGCUCGGCAGGGCGCGUGUGCGCCGAAGCGAGGCGAUUCUGAGGCUUUAUAAACCCCGGGGCGCGCCGCGACCCAGCAAGCGAGGAUAGCGGCGUGUCUCUGUUGUGAGCGCCAGGGAGUCCUUGUUGAUCGGCGGUGCAAUCGUAUCGAGAUGGGGUUUUGGCUGCUUUUAGGAGUUGCCUGGCUGUGCGUGUUUUUGCCUGCUGGCGUGGUCGCUCAGGACGUGUCAGGAAACUUCGUGACGGAGUGUCGGGAUCGGUACUUCUGGAUGUCGACCAAUGGCAGGUUUGCCGGCGGCAGCUUCCGCUUCGACGUCAUUG